CAGGUAAGCAAAACCAAGACGCCAUCGGAGACACCCUUGCCUGCAACGGUUGUGGUAUAAAGCAAGAGAAUGAUGGGAGUUGUGAUCCAUACCUCCGUGUGCAUAAUGGUUGUACCUGCUCCAGGAAGGCGCUGGAUCCUCCCAACUCCAUGGGAAGAGAUUAGGACACAAACAACAGACAGAAGGUGACCACAGGAGGACACAGUGAGAAGCUGGCCAUCUGCAAGCCAAGGAGAGAGACCUCAGGAGAAACCAAACCUGCCAGCACCUUAAUCUUAGACUUCUAGCCCUCAGAACGGUGAGGAAAUAAAUCUCUGUUGUUCAUGCCACCCAGUC
Molecule: long non-coding RNA, 336 nt
Filed under: Homo sapiens (human)
Lineage: Eukaryota; Metazoa; Chordata; Mammalia; Primates; Hominidae
Description: HSALNT0360230
Source: RNAcentral